AACGGUAUCUGAGGAAUAAGUAUCGGCUAACUCUGUGCUAGCAACCGCGGUAAGACAGAGGAUGCAAGCGUUACCUGAAAUGAUUGGACGUAAAGCAUAUGUAGGUGGCUUUGCAAGCCUGCCAUCAAAUCCCACGCUCAAGCCUGGAUAGGUGAUGGAAACUACUAAGCUAGAGUAUAAUAGGGGCAGACAGAAUUUCCGGUGGAGCGGUGAAAUGCGUAGAGAUCGGAAAGAACACUAACGGCCAAAGCACUUCGCUAGGCAAACACUGUCACUGAGAGACGAAAGCUAAGGAAGAAAAUGGGAUUAGAUACCCUAGUAGUCCUAGCUAUAAACGAUGGAUACUAGACGUUGUGCGUAUCGACCUGUGCAGCCUUGUAGCUAACGCGUUAAAUAUCCCACUUGGGAGUACGUUAGCAAGAAUGAAACUCAAAGAAAUUGACGGAGUCCAGUACAAGUAGUGGAGCAUGUGGCUUAAUUCGAUGCAAAGCGAAGAACCUUACCAGGGCUUUACAUGUCGUGAAUCCUCUUGAAAGAGAAGGGCGCCCUCAGGAACGGGGAUACAGGUGGUGCAUGGCUGUCGUCAGCAUGUGCCGUAAGGUGUUGGGUUAAGUCCCACAACAAGCGCAACCCUCGUGUUCAGUUACUACCAUUGAGUCUGGAAUCCUGAACAAACUAUCGAUGAUAGGCUAGAGGAAGGUGAGGAUGACGUUAAGUCAUCAUGCCCCUUAUGCCAUAAGCGACAAACGUGCUAUAAUGGGUGGAACAAAGGGUUGCGACCUCGCGAGGGUGAGUUAACUCCAAAAGCCUGUCCUCAAUUCAGAUUACAAGCUGUAACUCGCCUGCAUGAAGUUAGAAUCGCUAGUAAUUACCGGUCAUCCAUACAAUGGUAAAUUCGUUCCCAUGCCUUAUACACACCACCUGUCACACUAUGGGAGUUGGUCAUACCCGAAAUAGGGUUAAUUUUUUUGGUAAAUCACUGAACUUUGGUCAAAUAUCAUUUUGAUCACUUAAUUUGAUUUGUUUUGAAAUGCUCACUA
This 1040-nucleotide ribosomal RNA is filed under the name Dioscorea cayenensis subsp. rotundata (Guinea yam). Its description in RNAcentral is "bacterial SSU rRNA". It matches the Rfam family "Bacterial small subunit ribosomal RNA", at positions 471 to 1533 of the family's 1533-position model. Lineage: Eukaryota; Viridiplantae; Streptophyta; Magnoliopsida; Dioscoreales; Dioscoreaceae. The record is from RNAcentral.